UACAGAGGGUGCGAGCGUUUGUUCGGAAUUAUUGGGCGUAAAGCGCUUGUAGGCGGCUUGUUAAGUUCCGUGUGAAAUCCCCAGGCUUAACCUGGGAAGUGCGCGGAAAACUGGCGAGCUUGAAUGCCGGAGAGGGUCGCGGAAUUCCCGGUGUAGAGGUGGAAAUUCGUAGAUAUCGGGAGGAACACCAGUGGCGAAGGCGGCGACCUGGACGGACAGUUGACGCUGAGACGCGAAAGCGGUGGGGAGCAAACAGGG
This 258-nucleotide ribosomal RNA is filed under the name uncultured bacterium. RNAcentral's name for it is "partial 16S ribosomal RNA". It matches the Rfam family "Bacterial small subunit ribosomal RNA", at positions 524 to 777 of the family's 1533-position model. The record is from RNAcentral.